This 249-nucleotide long non-coding RNA is filed under the name Elaeis guineensis (African oil palm). RNAcentral describes it as "long non-coding RNA (EGUI_LNC059676)". Lineage: Eukaryota; Viridiplantae; Streptophyta; Magnoliopsida; Arecales; Arecaceae. The record is from RNAcentral.
GACCGACUCUUUCAGGGUUUUUCCGACUUCCGACCUUGUGUGGCGUCUUUCUGAACUCCCUCGACCGUCUGAGCUUCCAUAUUACCAUCCGAACUUCUUCGAUAAUGAGCUCCUCCAUUCACAUACCGGGCUGCUCCAAAUGCUCUUUGGGCUUCAAUAUCAGUCGAUUUUCUGUAGUGAUCGACUAUUCUCCAAAUCUUAUCUAGACUUCUUCCAGCCACGAUCGACUCUACUCCAAACUUCCUCCAG